This 969-nucleotide long non-coding RNA is filed under the name Homo sapiens (human). Its description in RNAcentral is "HSALNT0381745". Lineage: Eukaryota; Metazoa; Chordata; Mammalia; Primates; Hominidae. The record is from RNAcentral.
AAACUCCCCAUUACCAGGCGAUAAGAAGGGAAGGGAUCUAGCAUUUGUUAGAUACCUAAGGUCUCCCAGCCAGGCACUUCCCAUACCGCAUUUAAGCCUCGCAACACCCUACCAGCUGUUACCAUCCCCUUUUUACCGCAGGGGGAAACCGAGUCUGUAACUUGUUGAUCUGUAUGGAGAUUGGAUCCCUGACCCUCUGACCUCUUUUUAGUGAGGGAUUAGAGAAGAGGGCAAGCCUCAAGGGGCCGCUUGGGCCGGCAUACCCUGGAUCGAGCCUGCGAUCUCACUGGGGCACUUGAGGACGUCCGGGGCUAUUACAAAUAUUGCUUCCAAGUUGGGGCUCCUUGUAAAACCCGGCGAAGGAGCCUCGGGGCCAGAAGGCGAGCAGGAGGAGGGGGAAGACUGAUGUGGCAAUCCUGCGGCCAGAGCGAGAGGAGGAAGGAAGGUCAGGAAAUGAUUAACCGGGCCGGGCAGUGGUUAGAGCCGGGCACCUCCCCGCAAUGCAGUCCUAGAGCAGCCAGGGACGCCCCGUCAAUCACUUCUUACUCCUCCCUACCUCCCACGCCACAAGUCGGCCUCUUCCGCAUAGACCUCUGCCUAAUGGUAUCCACCCACCGGGGGCACCUCUGCUCAUCCUUUCCCCAGAAGUAUUUCUGGGUCCUCAAAGAUCUGUCCUUUUCCAAGUGGUAUUUGCUGUUAGAGCAAGCCUCGGCCUGGGAUUUUUAUGGCAGUGAUGCGUUGUGGAAAGUGCGUCUGCCUAGGAAGGCAGGCCGGCAUGCUUUCAAAUCUUAGCUCUGCUGCCUACUUGACGGCCAGGCUUAGCAAGCGUCUCUAGCCGUUCCAAGCCUUUUCUAGAUCUGUAAAACUGGAAGAAGAAUACUUGUCUCGCAAGGAACAUGUGAGAAUUCAUGAAAAUUGCCACCACAUACUAGGUGGCCAAUAAAUUAUAACUUUGUAUUUGUUUUUACU